Molecule: ribosomal RNA, 497 nt
Filed under: uncultured bacterium
Lineage: Bacteria
Description: partial 16S ribosomal RNA
Rfam family: Bacterial small subunit ribosomal RNA
Source: RNAcentral
GAUGAACGCUGGCGGCGUGCCUAAUACAUGCAAGUCGAGCGAACAGACGAGGAGCUUGCUCCUCUGACGUUAGCGGCGGACGGGUGAGUAACACGUGGAUAACCUACCUAUAAGACUGGGGUAACUUCGGGAAACCGGAGCUAAUACCGGAUAAUAUAUUUAACCGCAUGGUUCAAUAGUGAAAAACGGUUUUUCUGUCACUUUUAGAUUGAUCCGCGCCGCAUUAGCUAGUUGGUAAGGUAACGGCUUACCAAGGCAACGAUGCGUAGCUGACCUGAGAGGGUGAUCGGCCACACUGGAACUGAGACACGGUCCAGACUCCUACGGGAGGCAGCAGUAGGGAAUCUUCCGCAAUGGGCGAAAGCUUGACGGAGCAACGCCGCGUGAGUGAUGAAGGUCUUCGGAUCGUAAAACUCUGUUAUUAGGGAAGAACAAAUGUGUAAGUAACUAUGCACGUCUUGACGGUACCUAAUCAGAAAGCCACGGCUAACUACGUG